AGAGGACCGUCCCGGACGAAAUUUGCUACUCAGUAUUUUUUUAAUGUUUGGCUUUAUAAGUGCAUACAUAUGUUAAGGAAAAAAGAAAGAAAAAGAAGAAGGAAAGGAAGAGAAAUAUAUGUUCCCCGGAGAUCCCCCCCCGAACCGUGCUGUAUAAAACGAAUGUUUCUGCACUGAACUACGGAAAGGAAACCCCUCUCUCUCCCCCUCCCUCCCCUCGCUAAGAAAGCGGAGAGCGGCUCGUUGAGCGUAAGUUCUGACUGACACGACGCGGAGGAAAACCCCCCCCGCUUUGCAAUCGAACGCCGACACCUUCGGGGCGACUUUCCCGGCCGGGCUCUCCCCUCAUCCCGCUCCCGAGCACCGCGAUUUCCCUUUCUGGAGCCAAACCAGACGCCAGAUAAUCACACAGAUAAAGCUUUUAUAAUAAGGCUUAAACCGAGACCUUGCCUGGAUAUUUUUAGUUUGUUGCCAAGGUAGCACUGUGAGAAAUCUCACUUGAAUGUUAUGUAAGAGGUGAGACACAACAGUCUGACUCGGCGCGAGCGCGUACCCGGCUCGGCCCGGCGCUUCGGUGCAUUGCUGCUGCUGUUGCUGCUGUUCGCCUCAAACGCUGUGUUUAAACAACGUUCCAGACCUUAGCGGCCUACCGAGUGGCUGUAUGUACAUAGUUGUUAAUACAUCCAAUUAAUGAUGUCUGACAUGCUAUUUUUGUAGGGAGAAAAUACGUGUUAAUGAUAUUUUGAGUUAAAUAUCUUUUGGGAGGAUUUGCUGACAAAGUUGCACUUUUGUUACGAUGCUUACGCUUGAUACGAGCUUACGCCGUCUUAAAUUAUUAAAAGAAAAUAAAUCCUGUCUGCAAGAAACCAGCCGGUUUAGAACAGAUUAGUAUGUGAUAUAUUAGAGACCGAUCUUUAUAUUCCGUAUUUUCCAGCACUCCAUGAAUUCUAUUAUCUAAAUAUUUCCACACUAUUUUGUGAUUGAAAAAGUUCUUACUAAGGAAUAAAAACUUUAAUACG
Molecule: long non-coding RNA, 1019 nt
Organism: Gallus gallus (chicken)
Lineage: Eukaryota; Metazoa; Chordata; Aves; Galliformes; Phasianidae
Source: Ensembl